GAUGAACGCUGGCGGCGUGCCUAAUACAUGCAAGUCGAGCGAACAGAUGAGGAGCUUGCUCCUCUGACGUUAGCGGCGGACGGGUGAGUAACACGUGGAUAACCUACCUAUAAGACUGGGAUAACUUCGGGAAACCGGAGCUAAUACCGGAUAAUAUAUUGAACCGCAUGGUUCAAUAGUGAAAGACGGUUUUGCUGUCACUUAUAGAUGGAUCCGCGCCGCAUUAGCUAGUUGGUAAGGUAACGGCUUACCAAGGCAACGAUGCGUAGCCGACCUGAGAGGGUGAUCGGCCACACUGGAACUGAGACACGGUCCAGACUCCUACGGGAGGCGGCAGUAGGGAAUCUUCCGCAAUGGGCGAAAGCUUGACGGAGCAACGCCGCGUGAGUGAUGAAGGUCUUCGGAUCGUAAAACUCUGUUAUUAGGGAAGAACAAAUGUGUAAGUAACUAUGCACGUCUUGACGGUACCUAAUCAGAAAGCCACGGCUAACUACGUG
This 497-nucleotide ribosomal RNA is filed under the name uncultured bacterium. RNAcentral's name for it is "partial 16S ribosomal RNA". It matches the Rfam family "Bacterial small subunit ribosomal RNA", at positions 28 to 507 of the family's 1533-position model. The record is from RNAcentral.